Molecule: ribosomal RNA, 55 nt
Filed under: Pseudomonas sp. URIL14HWK12:I3
Lineage: Bacteria; Pseudomonadati; Pseudomonadota; Gammaproteobacteria; Pseudomonadales; Pseudomonadaceae
Also listed under: 2 other names
Description: partial 16S ribosomal RNA
Source: RNAcentral
AUGGCUCAGAUUGAACGCUGGCGGCAGGCCUAACACAUGCAAGUCGAGCGGAUGA